This 393-nucleotide ribosomal RNA is filed under the name uncultured bacterium. RNAcentral's name for it is "partial 16S ribosomal RNA". It matches the Rfam family "Bacterial small subunit ribosomal RNA", at positions 523 to 918 of the family's 1533-position model. The record is from RNAcentral.
AUACGGAAGGUCCGGGCGUUAUCCGGAUUUAUUGGGUUUAAAGGGAGCGCAGGCGGCACUUCAAGCGUGACGUUAAAUUUCGGGGCUCACCCCCGUUAUGCGUCGCGAACUGUUGUGCUUGAGUAGGCGGCAGGGAGGCGGAAUUCGCGGUGUAGCGGUGAAAUGCUUAGAUAUCGCGAGGAACUCCGAUAGCGCAGGCAGCCUCCCGUUGCUUUACUGACGCUCAUGCUCGAAGGUGCGGGUAUCGAACAGGAUUAGAUACCCUGGUAGUCCGCACUGUAAACGAUGGAUGCCCGCUGUUGGGCCUUUUGGGUUCAGUGGCCAAGAGAAAUCGUUAAGCAUCCCACCUGGGGAGUACGCCGGCAACGGUGAAACUCAAAGGAAUUGACGGGG